This 460-nucleotide ribosomal RNA is filed under the name uncultured bacterium. RNAcentral describes it as "partial 16S ribosomal RNA". It matches the Rfam family "Bacterial small subunit ribosomal RNA", at positions 338 to 795 of the family's 1533-position model. The record is from RNAcentral.
CCUACGGGUGGCAGCAGUGAGGAAUAUUGGUCAAUGGACGAGAGUCUGAACCAGCCAAGUAGCGUGAAGGAUGACUGCCCUAUGGUUUUUAAACUUCUUUUAUAAAGGAAUAAAACGAGGCACGUGUGCCUUUUUGCAUGUACUUUAUGAAUAAGGAUCGGCUAACUCCGUGCCAGCAGCCGCGGUAAUACGGAGGAUCCGAGCGUUAUCUGGAUUUAGUGGGUUUAAAGGGAGCGUAGAUGGGUUGUUAAGUCAGUUGUGAAAGUUUGCGGCUCAACCGUAAAAUUGCAAUUGAUACUGGCAGUCUUGAGUACAGUUGAGGUAAGCGGAAUUCGUGGUGUAGCGGUGAAAUGCUUAGAUAUCACGAAGAACCCCGAUUGCGAAGGCAGCUUACUAAACUGUGACUGACAUUGAUGCUCGAAAGUGUGGGUAUCAAACAGGAGUAGAUACCCUUGUAGUC